This 301-nucleotide ribosomal RNA is filed under the name uncultured bacterium. RNAcentral describes it as "partial 16S ribosomal RNA". It matches the Rfam family "Bacterial small subunit ribosomal RNA", at positions 509 to 808 of the family's 1533-position model. The record is from RNAcentral.
CAGCAGCCACGGUAAUACGAAGGGUGCAAGCGUUACUCGGAAUUACUGGGCGUAAAGCGUGCGUAGGUGGUGGUUUAAGUCCGUUGUGAAAGCCCUGGGCUCAACCUGGGAAUUGCAGUGGAUACUGGGUCACUAGAGUGUGGUAGAGGAUAGUGGAAUUUCCGGUGUAGCAGUGAAAUGCGUAGAGAUCGGAAGGAACAUCUGUGGCGAAGGCGACUAUCUGGGCCAACACUGACACUGAGGCACGAAAGCGUGGGGAGCAAACAGGAUUAGAUACCCCUGUAGUCCCUGUCUCUAUACA